Long non-coding RNA from Phyllostomus discolor (pale spear-nosed bat), 344 nucleotides. RefSeq lists it as uncharacterized. The transcript is spliced from 2 exons. The record is from RefSeq and is a predicted model, not a curated record. Lineage: Eukaryota; Metazoa; Chordata; Mammalia; Chiroptera; Phyllostomidae.
CAGGAAGUUGGCCGGCGUCCCUCCGUGGAGCUUUAUGAUGUCCAUCGUGGCCAUGGCCAGACCGGCGCCGUUCACUGAGGGGGAGGGGGGGAAUGGUGUGUGUGAGCAACAGCACAAAGGAGGUGAAGCUCAGAAAGCUGAGCCGGCCGGACCCUUAGCGAGGGAGCACGGUACCGAGACAGCCUAUGUUCCCGUCGAGGCCGAUGUAGUUGAUAUCCGCCUUCGCCGCGGCUCUGUCCCUCUCGUCUUCCUGGGUCCAGUCCUGGAGAGCAAAGAUUUCCUUCUGGCGGUAAGCGGAAUUAGAAUCAAAGUUGAUCUUUGCAUCCAUGCAGAGCACUUCAAGG